GACGAACGCUGGCGGCGCGCCUAACACAUGCAAGUCGAACGAGCGAGAGGAGGUUUACUUUCUCAAGCGAGUGGCGAACGGGUGAGUAACGCGUGAGGAACCUGCCUCAAAGAGGGGGACAACAGUUGGAAACGACUGCUAAUACCGCAUAAGCCCACGACCCGGCAUCGGGUAGAGGGAAAAGGAGCAAUCCGCUUUGAGAUGGCCUCGCGUCCGAUUAGCUAGUUGGUGAGGUAAUGGCCCACCAAGGCGACGAUCGGUAGCCGGACUGAGAGGUUGAACGGCCACAUUGGGACUGAGACACGGCCCAGACUCCUACGGGAGGCAGCAGUGGGGAAUAUUGCACAAUGGGGGAAACCCUGAUGCAGCGACGCCGCGUGGAGGAAGAAGGUCUUCGGAUUGUAAACUCCUGUUGUUGAGGAAGAUAAUGACGGU
Molecule: ribosomal RNA, 435 nt
Filed under: uncultured bacterium
Lineage: Bacteria
Description: bacterial SSU rRNA
Rfam family: Bacterial small subunit ribosomal RNA
Source: RNAcentral